This 780-nucleotide long non-coding RNA is filed under the name Homo sapiens (human). RNAcentral describes it as "HSALNT0286748". Lineage: Eukaryota; Metazoa; Chordata; Mammalia; Primates; Hominidae. The record is from RNAcentral.
GCAACAUAGUGAGACCCUGUUUCUAUGAAAAAUAAAAUUAGCUGGUCGUGAUGGCACUUGCCUAUAGUCCUAGCUACUCAGGAGACUGAGGCCGGAGGAUUGCUUGAGCCUAUUAAGCCUGCAUGUUGUGAUCUCGGCUCAUUGCAACCUCCGCCUCCCAGGUUCAAGUGAUUCUCCUGCCUCAGCCUUUCAAGUAGCUGGGACUACAGGCGUCCGCCACCAUGCCCAGCUAAUUUUUGUAUUUUUAGUAGAGAUGGGGUUUUGCCAUGUUGGCCAGGCUGGUCUUGAAUUCCUGACCUCAGGUGAUCCACCCACCUCGGCCUCCCAAAGUAUCGAGAUUACAGGCAUGAGCCACCAUGCCCGGCCCCUGUGGGUCUUUUCAGAAAAUUUAAAUUUGUGAGAGAAAAACAUCUGAACAUCAGGUACAGUCUGAUCUACAAAGAUUCAACAGUAUGUCACUGCCCAGGUGUGGUAGCUCACAUCUGUACUACCAGCACUUUGGGAGGCCAAGGCAGAAGGAUCACUUGAGGCCAAGAGUUUGAGACCAGCCCUUGAAACAUAGUGAGAUCCCAUCUCUACAAAAAAUUUAAAAAUUAGCUGGUGUGGAGGUACAUGCCUGUAGUUCCAGCUACUUGGGAGGCUGAGGUGGGAGGAUUGCCUGAGCCUGGGAGUUCGAGGCUGCAGUGAGUGUGGUUGUGGCUCUGCACUCCAGCCUGGGUGACAGAGGGAGACCCUGUCUCAAAAACAAAAAACCCGAAAAAAUAAAAAAACAAAACCCAC